This is a non-coding RNA of Doryrhamphus excisus (bluestripe pipefish), 3197 nucleotides long. The record is from RefSeq and is a predicted model, not a curated record. Lineage: Eukaryota; Metazoa; Chordata; Actinopteri; Syngnathiformes; Syngnathidae.
AGGAAGCGCUGCGGUGGAACGGGACGAUCGUGUUGCAUAGAUUGAAGCCAACGGGAAGUGGUAAAAAAAAAUAAACAGGAAGUGGUCAAACAUACACAGGAAGUGAGAAGGAGAGACACAAACAGGAAGAAGGAAACGUUCAACUGGCGCUAUCCAAUAGGUGACGGGAUUACUAAGAAGUUGUUUUGUACACAAAUGAUUACAAUCAUACUAUCAUUACUCGUGUCGACUACCAUGUCUUCCUCCGUAUAAUGUUCUUGUCACAAAAUGAGUGGAUUUCAAGCGAAAUUCAGCUCUGAUGGACACGGUGACGUUUAGCAUGACGUCACCUGACAUGGCUGCCCAACAUCAACCUUCUACGUGACGGGAUGCGGCGGAGAAUGAGAAGGCGCCAUGAGAAGGAGGAGGAGGAGCGACGUCUGAUGUGACCAAGAAAAAAAAAAAUGAAUGAUGUCCAUGCAGACAACCUGCCACGCAGCCUUCAUGCGAUUAAAAAGAGAAGGAAAAAAAAGCCUCAGCGUUAGCAGGCCUCCGGAGGCCGACUCACUGCCUGCAGCAGAGGAGGAGGAAGCGGCGGCAGGGGCAAGGGCGGCCCCGGCCGAGUUGGUGAGAGAAGAGGAGGAGCUAAGCCCCACGUGGGUGGGGCUAGAGAGAGUUUUGGCGGCGGCGGCGGCGUCAUUGUGCUGGCUGACGACAGACGGCUGGCGGCGCAGGGCACCGGGCACGGCCGCCUGGCCCGUCUGGAAGGUAUAGACCACAUCCAUCUGGAGGAAGGACACAGGGUUAGAAAGCAAACACCCGAGGAAGCAAGAAAGGAAGGAAGCAAGGAUUCUUUUUUAGUGAAAUUAGAGGAAGUAGUUAGGAAAGCUGAUUAAUUGGUUUGUGAUAAAGAUAAAAAGAUAAAGGGAUUUUCUGCCUUAAAAUCAGAUUAAAACAGAGUAGUCGAAUUGUGGAAGAAAACAAUUGUUCAUGUAGCAAACUGUGCAGCUCACCGGCCACAACAUUAGGUACACCCGCACUAAACAAUGACAUCCAAUAGAAGAAUUGCAGCAGUAUAAUAAACAACAACAUAAUAUAAUGGCCGCCAUGUUGUUUUGAUCAGCAUUUGUUGGUCAUUUGCAGGAUUCCACAAAAAAAAAAAAACAUUUGAAUGAAAAUGUUACAUUUUGGUGCAAAUCUGAAUGGAAAAAAAAAUCUUUUUUUUCCCUUAGUCAAAAAAAAAAAAAGAAAAGUCAAAAAUGUGAUUUUUUCUUCUUUUGACCAGGGGCAUAAUGGUACCCCAUAAUCACAGUCACAGUUUGGUUCGUUGUCAGUACACUAAGUCAACUAAAAUUGCUUUACUUUUAUGCAAACAGCUUCAGAAAGAACAGGAGACUAACAAUGCAAAAGGGUUUUCAAGAUCUGGCGCCUCCUUGGCACUUGAACACUAGACAUUUUAACCCAUACCUGUCAACAUUUGCAUUUAAAAAUAAAAGUAAGGGCCAUAGACAGGAGCCAUAGGAGGGUAUAUUGUCUGAAUGAGGACAAGACAAGAAUCAAACAUAGCAGAUAAUGUCGCCAUUGUCACAGGAUCCAAAUUACAAGUUCACCAAAUCUGGAGUUUCCCACCGCAAUCGGUGGGUCUACCCGUUUUUUGUUUUGUUUUUUUAACACCAAUAGUCCUGCAAAAAAAACUAUAAUAACCACAUAACACGUUACCAACGCUGUAAAAACACUCAAAUGCUAAAGCUAGUUAGCAUCGAGAGACGUCUUGAAGUAACCUCUUUUCUUGAGAAACUUCAGAAUGUCCGGUUUCUACUUCCGGAUCGGAUUCGGGAUCCAACACAUAUGACUGUAUGUUAAAAAACUUUAAUCCACUCCUAUAAAGUUGAUCGGAAGUUCUCCCAAGCAUUUGGGAGUGUGACCAACUACAGCGGAGUGGGCGUGGAUGUAAUAAAGUAAAACAGACCGUAUUCUCGGGAAGCACAAACUCCAAAGAAAUACAGCUGAAUAGGUGCAGAUUCUGGAAGAUCUGGAAAGCUUUCCGUGCUGCUUAUCAAUAGGAGUCCACAAAUUGAUACAAAGGGCCGAAAUGAUGGAAGGAUGGAGGAGGAUGAUGGAAGAGAUUAGCGAGAACAAAGCAAAAGAACGACAACAAACAUUAGUUAGCAUAAGACAAAGAGCGUAAGCGUGGAAAGAAAGUCUGAUAGAAGCGAGGAACGAAGGAAGACACGGAAGAGCGCACAAAGAACCUGAAAGCACUUUGAGGAAAAUGUGUCACUCGGAAUGACUGAUAAGCUGCGGACAGCGAGGUGCGGCUUGUAGCAAUUAUAGCUCACAGUGUAGCUAGCACGCUGGCCGUCAGGAUUAAGAGGAGGACAGGAAGAGGAGCGUGGAGAGAUAAGAAGCUAAUUAGCUCGCAGCCUUUUUGUCGCCUACUUCCCCCCCCUCCUAUCGUCCCCCAGCGCCACUCCUUUCCGGGGUGGGGUGGGAUGGGGGGGGAACGAUAUUCCAGAUAUAAAGAAAUGAGAGCGAAAACAGCGGCACUGUGACGGUACCUACUUUCCAUUCACAGGAGGUGUGAAGGUAUCAAACCCUCCACGGAGGUCCGCUGCAACACUUCAUCAACAUGCUUCUAUGCUAUGCUAUGCUAUUCUAUUCAACUUUGCACUAAAGCAUAAAUAUUUCAUUACAGAAGGACCCCAUAACUUUAGCUCUAGUAACUACAGUGGAACUGUCAUACAAGUGUAAAAAGAAGUUAACUAUCAAUAUUAAUGCACACUGUUCAUCAUAAGCCGCUUCUUAAUUCACUAAUAUGUUAAUGUACUACAUUCAGACUGAACGUAGAAGUUUUAAUUUAAAUAAGAUUUUUAUUUAAGAUUUUUAAGAUUUUUUUUUAUGAAUAUACAUUCAUUCAUUCAUUCAUUCAUUCAUUCAUUUUCUACCACUUAUCCUCAUGAGGGUCGCAGGGGCUGCUGGAGCCUAUCCCAGCUGUCUUCGGGCGAGAGGCGGGGUCGCCAACCAAUCACAGGGCACAUAUAGACAAACAACCAUUCACACUCACAUUCAUACCUAUGGACAAUUUGGAGUCGCUAAUUAACCUAGCAUGUUUUUGGAAUGUGGGAGGAAACCGGAGUACCCGGAGAAAACCCACGCAUGCACGGGGAGAACAUUUAUUAUUAUUAUUAUUAUUUAUUAACUGUACAGUGUUUUAAUCA